CCCGGGGAACUGAAACAUCUAAGUACCCGGAGGAAAAGAAAUCAAACGAGAUGCCCACAGUAGCGGCGAGCGAAGAGGGCAGAGCCCAAACCUGUAAGCUACGGCUUAUGGGGGUUGAGGACUGACGUAAUUAAGGCCAGGCUUAGCUGAACUACCUGGGAAGGUAGGCGAUAGAAGGUAAGAGCCCUGUAAGCGAAAGGCAGAGCCUUAAGGUCAGUAUCCAGAGUACCACGGAGCACGAGGAAUUCUGUGGGAAGCAGGGGGGACCACCCUCCAAGGCUAAAGACUAACUGGCGACCGAUAGCGCAUAGUACCGUGAGGGAAAGGUGAAAAGAACCCCGGGAGGGGAGUGAAAUAGUACCUGAAACCGUAUGUCUACAAGCAGUCGGAGCGAAAGCGACGGCGUGCCUAUUGAAGAAUGAACCAACGAGUUAUCUGCACUAGCGAGGUUAAGUGGAAGACACGGAGCCGUAGCGAAAGCGAGUCUGAAAAGGGCGGCGAGUUAGUGUAGGUAGACCCGAAACCGCAGUGAUCUACCCAUGUCCAGGUUGAAGCGCAGGUAAAAAUGCGUGGAGGACCGAACCGGUGAGCGUUGAAAAGCUUUCGGAUGAGAUGUGGGUAGGGGUGAAAUUCCAAUCGAACGCGGAGAUAGCUGGUUCUCCCCGAAAUAGCUUUAGGGCUAGCCUCAGGUAGUAAGUAUAGGCGGUAGAGCACUGAUCGGGCUAGGGGCCAUAAAGGUUACCGAACCCUGUCAAACUCCGAAUGGAUAUACUGCAGAGCCUGGGAGUCAGACUACGAGUGAUAAGAUCCGUGGUCAAAAGGGAAACAGCCCAGACCACCGGCUAAGGUCCCAAAUGCCGUACUAAGUGGAAAAGGAUGUGGGGAUUCAUAAACAACCAGGAUGUUGGCUCAGAAGCAGCCACCAUUUAAAGAGUGCGUAAUAGCUCACUGGUCGAGAGUCCCUGCGCCGAAAAUUUCCGGGGCUAAAGUACGGAACCGAAGCCGUGGCUGUGUACUUAGGUACACGGGGUAGGGGAGCGUUGCCACAGGGGUGAAGCUGGUCUGGAAGGACUGGUGGACUUGUGGGAAGUGAGAAUGUUGGUAUGAGUAGCGAAAAGAAAGGUGAGAAUCCUUUCCACCGAAAGCAUAAGGAUUCCUGAGCAACGAUCGUCGUCUCAGGGUAAGUCGGGACCUAAUCCGAGGCAAAGAGCGUAGGAGAUGGACAACAGGUUGAUAUUCCUGUACCGGCAGCAAUUGUUUGAGCGAAGGAGUGACACAGAAGGGCAGGCAGGCGCGAGACUGGAUUGUCGCGUGCAAGCGUGUAGGGUAGUGUACAGGCAAAUCCGUACACUGAGAGCCUGAGGCGUUACGCGGAGCGAGCAGAGAUGCGAGCGAAGCUGCUGAUCCCACACUGUCGAGAAAAGCUUCUAGUGAGAGAGCUGCCGCCCGUACCGUAAACCGACACAGGUAUGCGGGGAGAGAAUCCUAAGGUGCGCGGGAGAACCCUCGUUAAGGAACUCGGCAAAAUGUACCCGUAACUUCGGGAUAAGGGUAGCCGUCUUGGUGAAGGAGCUUGCCUCUGGAGCUAAAGGCGGUCGCAGAGAAGAGGCCCAAGCGACUGUUUACCACAAACACAGGUGCCUGCUAAAGCGAAAGCUGACGUAUAGGUGCUGACACCUGCCCAGUGCUGGAAGGUUAAGGAAGGAUGUCCGGGCAACCAAAGCAUUCGACCGAAGCCCCAGUGAACGGCGGCCGUAACUAUAACGGUCCUAAGGUAGCGAAAUUCCUUGUCGGGUAAGUUCCGACCCGCACGAAAGGUGUAACGAUUUGGGCACUGUCUCAACGAGGGACCCGGUGAAAUUGAAAUACCUGUGAAGAUGCAGGUUACCCGCGACUGGACAGAAAGACCCCAUGGAGCUUUACUGUAACCUGACAUUGGGUUUUGUUGUAUUACGUACAGGAUAGGUGGGAGGCUUGGAAGGCUGGACGCUAGUCUGGCUGGAGCCGGCGUUGGGAUACCACCCUUGAUACAACGGAAUUCUAACCGAGAGAGUAACGAAAUCCGGGACAGUGUCAGGCGGGCAGUUUGACUGGGGCGGUCGCCUCCGAAAGAGUAACG
RNAcentral lists this ribosomal RNA (2119 nucleotides) under human gut metagenome. RNAcentral's name for it is "bacterial LSU rRNA". It matches the Rfam family "Bacterial large subunit ribosomal RNA", at positions 184 to 2302 of the family's 2925-position model. The record is from RNAcentral.